Molecule: ribosomal RNA, 269 nt
Filed under: uncultured bacterium
Lineage: Bacteria
Description: partial 16S ribosomal RNA
Rfam family: Bacterial small subunit ribosomal RNA
Source: RNAcentral
UUUGAUGGCGACCGGCGCACGGGUGAGUAACACGUAUCCAACCUGCCGAUGACUCGGGGAUAGCCUUUCGAAAGAAAGAUUAAUACCCGAUGGCAUAGUUCUUCCGCAUGGUGGAACUAUUAAAGAAUUUCGGUCAUCGAUGGGGAUGCGUUCCAUUAGGUUGUUGGCGGGGUAACGGCCCACCAAGCCUUCGAUGGAUAGGGGUUCUGAGAGGAAGGUCCCCCACAUUGGAACUGAGACACGGUCCAAACUCCUAGGGAGGCAGCAUG